RNAcentral lists this ribosomal RNA (399 nucleotides) under uncultured bacterium. RNAcentral's name for it is "bacterial SSU rRNA". It matches the Rfam family "Bacterial small subunit ribosomal RNA", at positions 358 to 769 of the family's 1533-position model. The record is from RNAcentral.
GGAAUAUUACACAAUGGGCGGAAGCCUGAUGCAGCGACGCCGCGUGAGGGAUGACGGCCUUCGGGUUGUAAACCUCUUUCAGCAGGGACGACGCGUACGUGACGGUACCUGCAGCCGAAGCGCCGGCCAACUACGUGCCAGCAGCCGCGGUAAGACGUAGGGCGCGAGCGUUGUCCGGAUUUAUUGGGCGUAAAGAGCUCGUAGGCGGCUUGUCGCGUCGACUGUGAAAACCCGCAGCUCAACUGCGGGCCUGCAGUCGAUACGGGCAGGCUAGAGUUCGGUAGGGGAGACUGGAAUUCCUGGUGUAGCGGUGAAAUGCGCAGAUAUCAGGAGGAACACCGGUGGCGAAGGCGGGUCUCUGGGCCGAUACUGACGCUGAGGAGCGAAAGCGUGGGGAGC